RNAcentral lists this ribosomal RNA (253 nucleotides) under uncultured bacterium. RNAcentral's name for it is "partial 16S ribosomal RNA". It matches the Rfam family "Bacterial small subunit ribosomal RNA", at positions 524 to 776 of the family's 1533-position model. The record is from RNAcentral.
UACGUAGGGUGCAAGCGUUGUCCGGAAUCAUUGGGCGUAAAGCGCGUGUAGGCGGUUACGUAAGUCUGCUGUGAAAGUCGGAGGCUCAACCUUCGAAAGCCGGUGGAUACUGCGUGACUAGAGUACGGAAGAGGAGAGUGGAAUUCCUGGUGUAGCGGUGAAAUGCGCAGAUAUCAGGAGGAACACCAACGGCGAAGGCAGCUCUCUGGGACGUUACUGACGCUGAGACGCGAAAGCGUGGGGAGCAAACAGG